UGCUGACGAUUCCAAAAUGAGGCUUCAGGCAAAAGGGAAGUUAGUGAAAAAAGGAGAAAAAUAUGCAUAUAUAUGGAGAGGGGAAGUUUAGUUUGCCAGAGGAAGUGUAUGAAGCACAGAUGAUUGGUGGGGUGGCUUUGCUUCUUCUACUACAAAGGAAAAAGGGCUAAAAAAUGACAUUGCACCAAUACCCAAAAUGUGUGAAAUGCAUGAUUGGCCUGCAAGGGAGUGAGAAAAAUUUGUCUCAGCAACAGCAACAGUGGCCUUAUUAAGUUCACCCUUGUCCAAGCAAAAUAUACGCAUUUUUUUUCCCUGUUUUCCCCCCUUUUUCCAUCCUAUUCUCUCACUUACCUGAGCCACACCCACUUCUCCAAAUGGGGUGGCUGCAAUCCUUUCUCUCUCCAUUGAAGAAGCUGUGGUUUCGUCUGCAUUCAACUACUAAAAAGAGAAGAGGGAUAUACAUUCUAUAUGAGGAUGUGAAAUCUUGCCCCUGUGAAGAUGUUCAUGUCCUAUGGUCAAUACUGGUGGAAUCCAAUGCACCCUCCAUGCCAUCAAAACAAUGAAGGCCUAUACUCAGUACAGAAUUUACUAAAAUUAAUGGGAAAUUUCGAGUCAACGUCAUGUACAUAAAAUAUUUAUGAUGUUUUAUAUACUCUGGUGAAAAGGCUUUUUUGUUUUCUACUUUUGCCUUUUUAAGUUUCUUGUCAUCUCAGCUACAUAUACUAUACUAGAACAUCACUUUCCUUGUUUCAUUUUUAUUUCCUGUUUUAAACUUUUGCUUGGCCCUAACUACUCUAAUUCUGUCUUUA
Long non-coding RNA from Hevea brasiliensis (rubber tree), 809 nucleotides. RefSeq lists it as uncharacterized. The record is from RefSeq and is a predicted model, not a curated record. NCBI's taxonomy places the organism in Eukaryota, Viridiplantae, Streptophyta, Magnoliopsida, Malpighiales, Euphorbiaceae. The transcript is spliced from 2 exons.